UGAAGCACAAACUUGCUAAGGCCACUCAUC
This 30-nucleotide non-coding RNA is filed under the name Rattus norvegicus (Norway rat). The record is from RNAcentral. Lineage: Eukaryota; Metazoa; Chordata; Mammalia; Rodentia; Muridae.